Long non-coding RNA from Centropristis striata (black sea bass), 394 nucleotides. RefSeq lists it as uncharacterized. NCBI's taxonomy places the organism in Eukaryota, Metazoa, Chordata, Actinopteri, Perciformes, Serranidae. The record is from RefSeq and is a predicted model, not a curated record. The transcript has 3 exons.
CGUGAAUUCGCGAGAUUCACUGAUACACUGCACUCUGUUGGUAGAGCAUUUAAUUGUUCUGCCUCUCACUUCACUUAGAGAUUGGAUAAUCUUCCACGGCACACCUGUUGAUUUCUUACGGCACACUUGUGUGCCGCGGAACAGCUGUUGGGAAUCACUGGAUUGGAGCACAGUUAUGGGGCGAAUCUGAUUGGCUCCUUGCGUUUUGGCUUUGAUGCUUUGAUGUAAAUCCUGUCCGCUGGCGGGACUCGGCAUCUCUGGCUUUUCGUCUGAGAUAAACACUACUUCACCUAAGAGACUUGAGUAUCCAGUUCUUCGUUGACCUUCAGCAUUCAGUGGUUUGUCUUCACCUUUUCAGGUUUCCUGUGUCCAGCAUCUUCAAGACAUACUAAGC